GUGCUUAUUCGGCAGCAUAUACACUAAAAUUGGAAUGAUACAGAGAAGAUUAGCAUGGCCCCUGCACAAACAUAACAUGCAAAAGAAGAAAAAUUAGUCUCGAAAUU
Small nuclear RNA from Cavia aperea (Brazilian guinea pig), 107 nucleotides. NCBI's taxonomy places the organism in Eukaryota, Metazoa, Chordata, Mammalia, Rodentia, Caviidae. The record is from Ensembl.